RNAcentral lists this unclassified non-coding RNA (331 nucleotides) under soil metagenome. Its description in RNAcentral is "partial contains 5.8S ribosomal RNA, internal transcribed spacer 2, and large subunit ribosomal RNA". The stretch from base 1 to 120 matches the Rfam family "5.8S ribosomal RNA", at positions 35 to 154 of the family's 154-position model. The record is from RNAcentral.
GAUGAAGAACGUAGCGAAAUGCGAUAAGUAAUGUGAAUUGCAGAAUUCAGUGAAUCAUCGAAUCUUUGAACGCACAUUGCGCCCCCUGGUAUUCCGGGGGGCAUGCCUGUUCGAGCGUCAUUUCACCACUCAAGCCUCGCUUGGUAUUGGGCAACGCGGUCCGCCGCGUGCCUCAAAUCGUCCGGCUGGGUCUUCUGUCCCCUAAGCGUUGUGGAAACUAUUCGCUAAAGGGUGUUCGGGAGGCUACGCCGUAAAACAACCCCAUUUCUAAGGUUGACCUCGGAUCAGGUAGGGAUACCCGCUGAACUUAAGCAUAUCAAUAAGCGUAGGA